This 497-nucleotide ribosomal RNA is filed under the name uncultured bacterium. Its description in RNAcentral is "partial 16S ribosomal RNA". It matches the Rfam family "Bacterial small subunit ribosomal RNA", at positions 28 to 507 of the family's 1533-position model. The record is from RNAcentral.
GAUGAACGCUGGCGGCGUGCCUAAUACAUGCAAGUCGAGCGAACAGACGAGGAGCUUGCUCCUCUGACGUUAGCGGCGGACGGGUGAGUAACACGUGGAUAACCUACCUAUAAGACUGGGAUAACUUCGGGAAACCGGAGCUAAUACCGGAUAAUAUAUUGAACCGCAUGGUUCAAUAGUGAAAGACGGUUUUGCUGUCACUUAUAGAUGGAUCCGCGCCGCAUUAGCUAGUUGGUAAGGUAACGGCUUACCAAGGCAACGAUGCGUAGCCGACCUGAGAGGGUGAUUGGCCACACUGGAACUGAGACACGGUCCAGACUCCUACGGGAGGCAGCAGUAGGGAAUCUUCCGAAAUGGGCGAGAGCCUGACGGAGCAACGCCGCGUGAGUGAUGAAGGUCUUCGGAUCGUAAAACUCUGUUAUUAGGGAAGAACAAAUGUGUAAGUAACUAUGCACGUCUUGACGGUACCUAAUCAGAAAGCCACGGCUAACUACGUG